CUAAUAAAGGAAGCAGCUCAAUGG
This 24-nucleotide non-coding RNA is filed under the name Cricetulus griseus (Chinese hamster). The record is from RNAcentral. Lineage: Eukaryota; Metazoa; Chordata; Mammalia; Rodentia; Cricetidae.